GAAUAAAAGCAGGCUGCCCGAGCUAGCCAGUAGCAACUCUCUCUGGUCCCUUUCCACACUAUGGAAGCUUUGUUCUUUUGCUCUUCACACUAAAUCUUGUUGCUGCUCAGUGUUUGGGUCCGCACGGCGUUUGUGAGCUGUAACACUCACCGCGAAGGUCUGCAUCUUUGCUCCUGAAGCCAGCGCGAAGGUGUGCAGCUUCAGUCCUGAAGCCAGCGAGAUCGCGAACCCGCCAGGAGGGACGAACAACUCCGGCCAGGAGGAACAAACUUCUCCAGACGUGGCGCCGCCUUUAAGAACUGUAACACUAACCGCGAAAGUCUGUAGCUUCGCUCCUGAAGCCAGGGAGACCACGAACCCACCAGAACAAAAAAACUCCGGACACAUCAUCUUUAAGAACUCACCGGGAGAGUCUGCGGCUUCAUUCCUGAAGUCAGCGAGACCAAGAACCCACCAAUUCUGGACACAAUUGGAUACUAUAAUCGAUAAAGAUCACUUAUUCUAUGGGAAGCCUGCUGCCAUGCUAUGAGGACACUCAGGCAGUACUCUGGAGAGUUGCACAUGGUAAAGAACUGAGCUCUCUUGCCAACAUCCAUACACUGAUUUUCUGUCUGAUUUUACUGGAGAGGCAGAAUAAUGUGCUGGAUCUAAACCUCUAAGUUUGAAUUCUGGCUCCACCACAUAUUCAUUGUGUGUCUUAGGAAAAGAGCUUAUUCUGUACAGAUAUAAUCAUUGUUUUUGAUGUGGGGAACCUUUUCCACCUAACGGAUGGCUUCAAAAGAAUCUGAAGCAAAGCUGAGAAUUUAGGAUUUAAGAAUGACCAUUUGGAAAUUUUCUUCACCAGAAAUAAAACUACUGAAGUCUUCCUGAUCUUUGACCGGGAUUUUUUCCUGUCCCUUUUGGAGCCCCAAAGCAGUGAAAUGGAGCAGAACUAGUUAGCCAUCCGUGCAGUUGCUUUGGGAGACGGCCAUGGUACCAGAGUGAAACGUCAGAGCCAGACCAGCAUGAGAAGAAUGUCUACUCAAGGGAUGGCAGCAGAGUGUGGGUUUCAGAGUCUGAGAUGGGUGACGAGGUCAACCCAAAGAGGGAGGCCCAGCACAUAGUGUCAGAAACCAAGCAGGGUGGAGAGGGUGUCCCUGCAGGGUUCCUGGUGGUGGCAGUAGCAGCAACUCAAGAUUGGCUACACACAAGGAGACUGAUCAAAUAAUAUAUUGAGAAUAACAAGAAUCAGAAGCUUCACCAUGGAUGAGAAAGGAAUUAC
This is a long non-coding RNA of Pan troglodytes (chimpanzee), 1261 nucleotides long. RefSeq lists it as uncharacterized. The record is from RefSeq and is a predicted model, not a curated record. The transcript has 5 exons. Lineage: Eukaryota; Metazoa; Chordata; Mammalia; Primates; Hominidae.